RNAcentral lists this ribosomal RNA (802 nucleotides) under uncultured bacterium. RNAcentral describes it as "bacterial SSU rRNA". It matches the Rfam family "Bacterial small subunit ribosomal RNA", at positions 8 to 796 of the family's 1533-position model. The record is from RNAcentral.
AGAGUUUGAUCAUGGCUCAGGACGAACGCUGGCGGCGUGCUUAACACAUGCAAGUGGUGCGACGAACCAGGGCUUGCCCUGGGGCAAAGCCGCGAACGGGUGAGUAACACGUGAGUAACCUGCCCCGAUGACCGGGACAACCCGAGGAAACUCGGGCUAAUACCGGAUGUAGUGCACAGGCGUAAGCCUGUUCACCAAAGGAAGCUUCGGCCUCCGCAUUGGGAGGGGCUCGCGGCCCAUUAGCUUGUUGGUGGGGUAACGGCCUACCAAGGCAACGAUGGGUAGCUGGUCUGAGAGGACGAUCAGCCACACUGGGACUGAGACACGGCCCAGACUCCUACGGGAGGCAGCAGUGGGGAAUCUUGCGCAAUGCGCGAAAGCGUGACGCAGCAACGCCGCGUGGGGGAAGACGGCCUUCGGGUUGUAAACCCCUUUCAGGAGGGACGAAGGUUCGCCGGUGAACAGCCGUGCGGAUUGACGGUACCUCCACAAGAAGCUCCGGCUAACUACGUGCCAGCAGCCGCGGUAAUACGUAGGGAGCAAGCGUUGUCCGGAAUCAUUGGGCGUAAAGCGCGCGUAGGUGGCUUCGUAAGUCCGUUGUGAAAGUCAAAGGCUCAACCUUUGAAAGCCGAUGGAUACUGCGGAGCUAGAGUACGGAAGAGGCGAGUGGAAUUCCUGGUGUAGCGGUGGAAUGCGCAGAUAUCAGGAGGAACACCAAUAGCGAAGGCAGCUCGCUGGGACGUUACUGACACUGAGGCGCGAAAGCGUGGGGAGCGAACAGGAUUAGAUACCCUAGUAGUCC